UACGUAGGGUGCGAGCGUUAAUCGGAAUUACUGGGCGUAAAGCGUGCGCAGGCGGUUAUAUAAGUCAGAUGUGAAAUCCCUGGGCUCAACCUAGGAACUGCAUUUGAGACUGUAUGGCUAGAGUGUGUCAGAGGGGGGUAGAAUUCCACGUGUAGCAGUGAAAUGCGUAGAUAUGCGGAGGAACACCGAUGGCGAAGGCAAUCCCCUGGACCUGUACUGACGCUCAUGCACGAAAGCGUGGGGAGCAAACAGG
Molecule: ribosomal RNA, 253 nt
Filed under: uncultured bacterium
Lineage: Bacteria
Description: partial 16S ribosomal RNA
Rfam family: Bacterial small subunit ribosomal RNA
Source: RNAcentral